UUUUCCUCAUUUUGCAAGUUGCUUUGGAUAAAAGUGUCUGCUAAAUGACUAAAU
Danio rerio (zebrafish) is the source of this 54-nucleotide non-coding RNA. NCBI's taxonomy places the organism in Eukaryota, Metazoa, Chordata, Actinopteri, Cypriniformes, Danionidae. The record is from Rfam.